AGAGUUUGAUCCUGGCUCAGGACGAACGCUGGCGGCGUGCUUAAUACAUGCAAGUCGAGCGGACCUUUGCCGUUUGUUGCCGGUUACCGGCGACAAAUGGCAACGGUUAGCGGCGAACGGGUGAGUAACGCGUGGGUAAUCUGCCCCCAAGACCGGGAUAACAGGGCGAAAGCGCUGCUAAUACCGGAUGACCUCUCUUUAUCGCAUGGUGAAGGGAGCAAAGCUACGGCGCUUGGGGAUGAGCCCGCGUUCCAUUAGCUAGUUGGUGAGGUAACAGCUCACCAAGGCGACGAUGGAUAGCCGGCCUGAGAGGGUGACCGGCCACACUGGGACUGAGACACGGCCCAGACUCCUACGGGAGGCAGCAGUAGGGAAUUUUCGGCAAUGGGGGAAACCCUGACCGAGCAACGCCGCGUGAGGGAUGAAGGCCUUCGGGUCGUAAACCUCUGUCUUUGGGGACGAUAAUGACGGUACCCGAGGAGGAAGCCCCGGCUAACUACGUGCCAGCAGCCGCGGUAAUACGUAGGGGGCGAGCGUUGUCCGGAAUUACUGGGCGUAAAGGGCGUGUAGGCGGCCUGUUAAGUCAGGCGUGAAAACCCCGGGCUUAACCUGGGGACUGCGUUUGAAACUGGCGGGCUUGAGGGCAGGAGAGGAAAGUGGAAUUCCCGGUGUAGCGGUGAUAUGCGUAGAUACCGGGAGGAACACCAGUGGCGAAGGCGGCUUUCUGGACUGCACCUGACGCUGAGGCGCGAAAGCCAGGGGAGCGAACGGGAUUAGAUACCCCGGUAGUCCUGGCCGUAAACGAUGGAUACUAGGUGUGGGUGGUUUCGAUACCAUCCGUGCCGUAGUUAACGCAUUAAGUACCCCGCCUGGGGAGUACGUGCGCAAGCAUGAAACUCAAAGGAAUUGACGG
This 913-nucleotide ribosomal RNA is filed under the name uncultured bacterium. RNAcentral's name for it is "bacterial SSU rRNA". It matches the Rfam family "Bacterial small subunit ribosomal RNA", at positions 8 to 916 of the family's 1533-position model. The record is from RNAcentral.